UAAGCGGUUGAAGGUGUGUGGUAACGCAUGCUGGACGUAUCAGAAGUGCGAAUGCUGACAUGAGUAACGAUAAAGGGGGUGAAAAACCUCCUCGCCGGAAGACCAAGGGUUCCUGUCCAACGUUAAUCGGGGCAGGGUAAGUCGACCCCUAAGGCGAGGCCGAAAGGCGUAGUCGAUGGGAAACGGGUUAAUAUUCCCGUACUUCUUACAAUUGCGAUGGGGGGACGGAGAAGGCUAGGUGGGCCUGGCGACGGUUGUCCAGGUUCAAGUGCGUAGGCUUAAGAGUUAGGUAAAUCCGGCUCUUUUUAAGGCUGAGACACGACGUCGAGCACCUACGGGUGUGAAGUCAUUGAUGCCAUGCUUCCAGGAAAAGCCUCUAAGCUUCAGAUUGUAAGGAAUCGUACCCCAAACCGACACAGGUGGUCGGGUAGAGAAUACCAAGGCGCUUGAGAGAACUCGGGUGAAGGAACUAGGCAAAAUGGUACCGUAACUUCGGGAGAAGGUACGCUCUCGACGGUGAAGUCCCUCGCGGAUGGAGCUAUUGAGAGUCGCAGAUACCAGGUGGCUGCAACUGUUUAUUAAAAACACAGCACUGUGCAAAAUCGUAAGAUGACGUAUACGGUGUGACGCCUGCCCGGUGCCGGAAGGUUAAUUGAUGGGGUUAGACUUCGGUCGAAGCUCUUGAUCGAAGCCCCGGUAAACGGCGGCCGUAACUAUAACGGUCCUAAGGUAGCGAAAUUCCUUGUCGGGUAAGUUCCGACCUGCACGAAUGGCGUAAUGAUGGCCACGCUGUCUCCACCCGAGACUCAGUGAAAUUGAAAUCGCUGUGAAGAUGCAGUGUACCCGCGGCUAGACGGAAAGACCCCGUGAACCUUUACUACAGCUUGGCACUGAACAUUGACCCUACAUGUGUAGGA
Molecule: ribosomal RNA, 917 nt
Filed under: Vibrio parahaemolyticus
Lineage: Bacteria; Pseudomonadati; Pseudomonadota; Gammaproteobacteria; Vibrionales; Vibrionaceae
Description: partial 23S ribosomal RNA
Rfam family: Bacterial large subunit ribosomal RNA
Source: RNAcentral